Molecule: long non-coding RNA, 2794 nt
Organism: Cyanoderma ruficeps (rufous-capped babbler)
Lineage: Eukaryota; Metazoa; Chordata; Aves; Passeriformes; Timaliidae
Source: Ensembl
AUGUCAAGCCCUGGAUGGGGUCAGCCUUCAUCCCACCAGCUGAAUCCAGUGAUUUCCCUGCCCAGGGUUACUGCUGGGGGUGGGAGGGCUGGCACGGUGAGCACGGCACAGAGCAGGCUGGUGGUGCUGGGAAGAUCAGGAUUGAAUGGGUGCAGAAUCCCUUCCCCAUGCGAUGGAGAAUCACCCCAUCCUCUGUGGCGGGCACACCGAUCCCUCAGAGGCACCACGGUUUGUCGAGGAAGAAUCUGCUGGGAUUUUGGAGCAGGGAAUGCUUUGGUGAAGAAGUUUCAGCAGCAUGGCCUUGGCUGGAUGAUCCUGCACCUCCCAGGCAGGGCAGGUGCUCCUGCAGCACUCCUGGAGCUGGAGAAGUGCGGGAUCACACCGCCAGUGUUCCCGGCGCUUGGGACGCGCCUCCAGACCAUUCCUGACAGCCAUCAGCCACGUCCCACCAUCCAGCCCGGCACAGCGAGUCUCCAGCUCCCUCUAAUGUUUCUGGCCCGAAAGGAGCAUCCGCAAGCAGGACAGGCCUGGGCAGGGAGCGGGCGGGCGGCCAGGCUGCACGGCCCCGAGGGAAAAGCGUGACGCGGAACGGCGAGGAAGCAGCUGGGCCAGAAAGGGGGGAGUGAUGUGCCGAGCAAAUGGUGUUAAAGAGUAAAGGAUGCAGUGUUUUAAGAGAGAAUAUAGUUGUACUGAAUGCCUAGUUAUUAUUAAUAAAUGAAAGAUUUCACGGGAAAAGGACUGUUCCUCCGAAAAAUACUAUUUCUGAUAUUCUAAAUAGAUACUCUAAAAUGCUGUGUUUCCAGCCCUGGAAAUGUUCAAAAAACAUGUGGUGACAUGGUUUAGUGGUGAACAUGGUGGUGGUGCUGGGGUAACAGUUGGACUUGAUCUUAGAAGUGAUCCUAUAUUAAUGAUUCUAUGGUUCUCUGAUUCUAAAGGCUCCUACUCAUUCCUGCCUGCACUGGGACUGUUAGGACGAGAGCUGUGCAUAGGAGUUUCCCAAACUUGUCCAUGUGAAAUGCAGCUUUAAAAAUGCAGCAAGAAGCCUGAGCACAGAAUGCAGCAGAAAUGGGUAUUGAUAACACAAUGCAAAGCCAGGUUGGAAACUCUCAAUCAAAAUCACUGCUGUGUCUGGCCAUAGUGGUUCACGGGGUGAUCCCAGAGCUGUGUGAGAGUCUGGAAGCAUUGAAUCCACACAAACAGCACAGAAUCCACACAAACAGCACAGUCCCUGCGUGCUACAGAAGCUGUAACACCAAGGCACAGGAAGCAGAAGGGGCAGCCAGGCCAUCUCCCCUCUGACACAUCGACUGACAGACCACACGCCUGCUCCUGACUCUGUGUGUGUGCAGCACAGAUCAGGGGAUGGAUAACAGAGAGAGGGGGAAUGUAAUUACCCUGCAAAGAAUAAAUCACUUUAACGGUUCAGUUACUGAGAUCACAGCGAGGCAGUGGCACAGCCUCUUAAUUAAUCUUCUGCUUUGCAGCUGGCUCCUGCCCCCGCGCCAUCUCCACCUCGCGCUGCCUGGCGACGAGAUGCCAUCGGCGGGGACAACACUGGCCGGUGGUUUCUGGCCGAGCAGGUCCAGCAGGGCAUGACCAGGUGAGGGAUCAGGGUGCCGUGGCUCCUGGGUUUGUGUACGGUAACACCUGUGGUGGGCCUGGUAAUGUGGUGUCCUGUGAUUCUCCAGGCCUGUGUCAGCAGCACCCAGUAACUCCGAGAUGAUUAUUAUGAGGAAUUGCUGGGCAUGAAGCAGGGCCCUGGGGAUGCUGGAGGCCUGGGACUGCUGCAGAGGAAUGGCUGGUGUGUGAGAUCAUGAAGGGAGAACCCCCACUUCACCUUCACCUCCACAUGGCCCAAACCUCUCUGACUCCUCACUGACCCCCUUCAUCCCCUUAACUCCCAAACUCUUCUUUGUGAAUUGCACCCCCAUUUCUCAUCCCUUCACAAACUGCUCUCUGGGCUCCCUCAUCCUCCUCAGAAUAAUCCCUUUCACAGUAUGCUCCCCUUAUGCCUCAAAAUUGCACCUCAGGGAUUGCUCCUCUUUGUCCCCUUCAUGUUUCUCCUCUGGGAAUCGCCAUUAUCUCCCAGACUGGUUCUCAGGGAUUGCUUCUGUCACUCCCCCUCAUUGCUCUUCAGGGAAUCUCUCCCUUUUCCUUGCUGCUUGGAGAUGGCCCCUUUCACGCCAGGGAUGUGCUCUCAUCCUCCUCAGGGAUCGCCCCCUCAUCCCCAAAACUGCUCCUCAAGGAUUGCUCCUCUUGCUGCCCCCUCAAUGCUGCUUCUCAGAGAAAUGGUCCCUUACCCUCAAAACUGUCCCUCAGGUUUGGCCCCUCAUGAUCUUCAGGGAUCAUCCCUUUACUGUCCCUCAGGGAUCACCCCCUCAUGCCCAAAACUGUCUCUCAGGGACUGAACCUCACCUCCUCAAGGGUUGCCCCCUUUGUCCUGCAAACUGCCCCUGAGGGACAGUUCCCAUCCUUUUCAGGGAUCAGCCCUUCAGGGAUCAUCCCUAAGGACUCGUCCCCUCAUCCCCCAAACUGUCCCCAGGGAUCGCCACCAAAAUUGCCCCUCUCACUCCUCCACAUUGGUUAAUCAGGGUCGCAUCCUCACUUGUCCCAAAACUGCCCUUCAGGGAUUGCUCCCAUAUGUUGCUCGUCAGGGAAAUGCCCCCUUACGCUCAGAAAUGCCCCUCAGGGAUCGCCCCUCUGCCUCCUCAGGGAUCGCCCCCUCAUCUCCAAAACUGCCUUUCAGGGAUGGUCCCUCAUCCUCCUCAAGGAUCGCUCCCCAAGGAAUCACCCC